This 327-nucleotide ribosomal RNA is filed under the name Triticum aestivum (bread wheat). RNAcentral describes it as "partial small subunit ribosomal RNA". The record is from RNAcentral. Lineage: Eukaryota; Viridiplantae; Streptophyta; Magnoliopsida; Poales; Poaceae.
AUGGCGGUGAAUACAGAGGUCCUUUUGAAAGUUCCUCUUGCAGGUGAUAUUCCUCAAAGAGUUUGGUCAGGGAAGGAGGUAUCAUACAAGCACUUGAAGGUCUUUGGUUGCAGGGCAUUUGUACAUGUUCCAAGGGACAAGAGAUCCAAGCUUGAUAGCAAGACAAAGAAGUGCAUCUACCUCAGCCAACCAAGUGAAGAGUUUGGCUACAGGUUGUGGGAUCCAGCAAAUAGGAAGAUUGUGAGAAGCCGAGAUGUGGUGUUCAUUGAAGAUGAAACAAUAAAAGAUAUUGGGAAACCAGAGAAGCCAAUGACCAACACACCUUAG